This is a non-coding RNA of Termitomyces sp. 'cryptogamus', 90 nucleotides long. NCBI's taxonomy places the organism in Eukaryota, Fungi, Basidiomycota, Agaricomycetes, Agaricales, Lyophyllaceae. The record is from the annotation of a GenBank genome assembly.
UGUCCCAUGGCUUAGUUGGUCACGCUGCGUCCGAAAUUCGGAUACUAUGUCAACAUCGGACCAUCGAGAGUUCAAGUCUCUCUGGGACAG